Molecule: ribosomal RNA, 301 nt
Filed under: uncultured bacterium
Lineage: Bacteria
Description: partial 16S ribosomal RNA
Rfam family: Bacterial small subunit ribosomal RNA
Source: RNAcentral
CAGCAGCCGCGGUAAUACGAAGGGUGCAAGCGUUAAUCGGAAUUACUGGGCGUAAAGCGUGCGUAGGCGGUUUGUUAAGUCUGUUGUGAAAUCCCCGGGCUCAACCUGGGAAUGGCAAUGGAUACUGGCAAGCUAGAGUGUGUCAGAGGAUGGUGGAAUUCCCGGUGUAGCGGUGAAGUGCGUAGAGAUCGGGAGGAACAUCAGUGGCGAAGGCGGCCAUCUGGGACAACACUGACGCUGAGGCACGAAAGCGUGGGGAGCAAACAGGAUUAGAUACCCCCGUAGUCCCUGUCUCUUAUAC